Populus nigra (black poplar) is the source of this 517-nucleotide long non-coding RNA. RefSeq lists it as uncharacterized. The transcript has 2 exons. The record is from RefSeq and is a predicted model, not a curated record. NCBI's taxonomy places the organism in Eukaryota, Viridiplantae, Streptophyta, Magnoliopsida, Malpighiales, Salicaceae.
GCUCCUUUAUACAUGUGGAGGUCCCUAAGCCAUUCACUUUCAUUCCUCUAAUUUCUCUUUGGCCGACACAUGCCCAAGAAAGAACACCAAAAGUUGCUUUAAUUUCCUUACUUUUUCAUUAAUGAAUCAUUUCCUUUGACAUCCGAACAGCUUUACACAAUGUCAUAUCUCAUUUAAACCAUCAAUUUUAAGUCUUUCAAGGGAGGUUGGCCGAAACCUCCAUCCAUGGUAGAGGCAAGGGAUUCGGUGAGGAAGAACAAAGGGAGGGGGUUGUUUUUGUUGUUCUGGCCGCCUGCUCUUCUUGGCAACACAUACAAAAUGUUCAAAUGAUGAGACAAGAGAAUUUGACUCUUUAGAAGUGGUCGGCUGCAUUAAUGGUGGGCAAGAGACAAAAGUCUUGGCUCCCUUGUUUUUUCUUUUGUAUGGGUGUAUGUGUCCCCCACAAAUGAGCUUAAACCUUGUUGGGUGAAAACAAUUUAUCUUCCCGUUUUUUAUGUACCGAUCCAUAUUUUAUCUU